Molecule: long non-coding RNA, 401 nt
Organism: Erinaceus europaeus (western European hedgehog)
Lineage: Eukaryota; Metazoa; Chordata; Mammalia; Eulipotyphla; Erinaceidae
Exons: 3
Source: RefSeq, a predicted model, not a curated record
GGUGACUUUUCUAAAGUUAGAAAGGUGUCUUUGGACAACUUGACUACUCAGUGGCCUUAUUUUGAUAAUUUGAUGUUUUUAAAAAUAGGUUUAUACAGAUGCUUGCAUUGGGCAAUUGGGUUGGCAGACCCUAUGUUUGGGAUUUAGAAGCAGAAGAUCCUCACAAAGCUAAGAGCUGUGCUAUGGGUGCAUGCAUUGUGCCAAGGCCAACAGCCUGCUAUACUGCUGAGAGGAAACAUAAAAAAAAGGAUCCAGAGACGAAGCAGAUUCUAUGGAGAUACCAGAUAAUAAAGACAAGGACACUGUGUUCAAGAACCAGCUUAUAUAAAUGCACUGGGGAGGGGUUUGGAGCAUGAAGGAGGGUUUACUCUACUCUGUUGCAUGAGUUCAGGGAAGAACAU